UCCUCUGUGGCGCAAUUGGCUAGCGCGUCUGACUGUUAUCAUUAAGACAAUCAGGAGGUGUAAGUACCACGUUCAGGGCGCAUCAGAUCAUAAUCUAACAUUGCACAGUGGAAGUUCGAGCCUUCCCGGAGGAG
Transfer RNA from Cyphellophora europaea CBS 101466, 134 nucleotides. It matches the Rfam family "tRNA". From Rfam's summary of the family: Transfer RNA (tRNA) molecules are approximately 80 nucleotides in length. The record is from Rfam. NCBI's taxonomy places the organism in Eukaryota, Fungi, Ascomycota, Eurotiomycetes, Chaetothyriales, Cyphellophoraceae.